UACAGGGUGCCACCAGACCCUUUGAAGGGUGCCAUGAGAUAAGAGGGAUGAGGAGAGAGGCAGAUUAAGCCCAGGCUCAGGCUUGUACUUGCCAGAGGAACCCCCACUCCUCUGCCUAGCUUUCUGGCAAAGAGCUUGUUGAAGAAGGCAGAAGGGGAAGACAGAAGUGGAAAUUAGUGGGUACAGAAGAAAAGGAGACAAUGUAUCAGUGGCUCAGUUCAUAUCAAAUGCAAAACAAUCUGCCCUUCAAUGGCA
This is a long non-coding RNA of Gavialis gangeticus (Gharial), 255 nucleotides long. RefSeq lists it as uncharacterized. The transcript has 2 exons. NCBI's taxonomy places the organism in Eukaryota, Metazoa, Chordata, Crocodylia, Gavialidae. The record is from RefSeq and is a predicted model, not a curated record.